GACGAACGCUGGCGGCGUGCCUAAUACAUGCAAGUUGAGCGAUGAAGAUUGGUGCUUGCACCAAUUUGAAGAGCAGCGAACGGGUGAGUAACGCGUGGGGAAUCUGCCUUUGAGCGGGGGACAACAUUUGGAAACGAAUGCUAAUACCGCAUAACAACUUUAAACAUAAGUUUUAAGUUUGAAAGAUGCAAUUGCAUCACUCAAAGAUGAUCCCGCGUUGUAUUAGCUAGUUGGUGAGGUAAAGGCUCACCAAGGCGAUGAUACAUAGCCGACCUGAGAGGGUAGUCGGCCCAAUUGGGACUGAGACACGGCCCAAACUCCUACGGGAGGCAGCAGUAGGGAAUCUUCGGCAAUGGACGAAAGUCUGACCGAGCAACGCCGCGUGAGUGAAGAAGGUUUUCGGAUCGUAAAACUCUGUUGGUAGAGAAGAACGUUGGUGAGAGUGGAAAGCUCAUCAAGUGACGGUAACUACCCAGAAAGGGACGGCUAACUACGUG
RNAcentral lists this ribosomal RNA (497 nucleotides) under uncultured bacterium. Its description in RNAcentral is "partial 16S ribosomal RNA". It matches the Rfam family "Bacterial small subunit ribosomal RNA", at positions 28 to 507 of the family's 1533-position model. The record is from RNAcentral.